This 234-nucleotide long non-coding RNA is filed under the name Elaeis guineensis (African oil palm). Its description in RNAcentral is "long non-coding RNA (EGUI_LNC063252)". Lineage: Eukaryota; Viridiplantae; Streptophyta; Magnoliopsida; Arecales; Arecaceae. The record is from RNAcentral.
CCCAACCCUGGUAGGAGUUCGGAUGAGGUACAGAAUGUGGUCGACCAUCAUAGAAAUAUGGAUGGAGUCUGGUUACUGUAGAAGUCCUACUGUUGAGGAAGCUCGGCCAUUGAUAAAGUCCAGAGGAAGUUCGGAGGAGAGUCGAUCAUGGCUGGAAGAAGUCUGGAAGAGAUUCGGAGAAUAGUCGAUCACUGCAGAAAAUCGGCUGAUAUUGAAGCCCAAAGAGCAUUUGGA